AAAUUGAAGAGUUUGAUCAUGGCUCAGAUUGAACGCUGGCGGCAGGCCUAACACAUGCAAGUCGAACGGUAACAGGAAGCAGCUUGCUGCUUUGCUGACGAGUGGCGGACGGGUGAGUAAUGUCUGGGAAACUGCCUGAUGGAGGGGGAUAACUACUGGAAACGGUGGCUAAUACCGCAUAACGUCGCAAGACCAAAGAGGGGGACCUUCGGGCCUCUUGCCAUCAGAUGUGCCCAGAUGGGAUUAGCUUGUUGGUGAGGUAACGGCUCACCAAGGCGACGAUCCCUAGCUGGUCUGAGAGGAUGACCAGCCACACUGGAACUGAGACACGGUCCAGACUCCUACGGGAGGCAGCAGUGGGGAAUAUUGCACAAUGGGCGCAAGCCUGAUGCAGCCAUGCCGCGUGUAUGAAGAAGGCCUUCGGGUUGUAAAGUACUUUCAGCGGGGAGGAAGGUGUUGUGGUUAAUAACCACAGCAAUUGACGUUACCCGCAGAAGAAGCACCGGCUAACUCCGUGCCAGCAGCCGCGGUAAUACGGAGGGUGCAAGCGUUAAUCGGAAUUACUGGGCGUAAAGCGCACGCAGGCGGUCUGUCAAGUCGGAUGUGAAAUCCCCGGGCUCAA
RNAcentral lists this ribosomal RNA (622 nucleotides) under Salmonella enterica. Its description in RNAcentral is "bacterial SSU rRNA". It matches the Rfam family "Bacterial small subunit ribosomal RNA", at positions 1 to 612 of the family's 1533-position model. Lineage: Bacteria; Pseudomonadati; Pseudomonadota; Gammaproteobacteria; Enterobacterales; Enterobacteriaceae. The record is from RNAcentral.